CAACAGGGAUUGCCUUAGUAACUGCGAGUGAAGCGGCAAAAGCUCAAAUUUGAAAUCUGACGUUUUUGACGUCCGAGUUGUAAUUUGGAGGGAUACUUCGGAGCUGGCGCUGUCCUAAGUUCUUUGGAACCAGACAUCAUAGAGGGUGAGAAUCCCGUGCCUGGGUGGCUGUCCUGCUCCAUGUGAAGUGUCUCCGACGAGUCGAGUUGUUUGGGAAUGCAGCUCAAAAUGGGUGGUAAAUUUCAUCUAAAGCUAAAUAUUGGCGAGAGACCGAUAGCGCACAAGUAGAGUGAUCGAAAGAUGAAAAGCACUUUGAAAAGAGAGUUAAACAGUACGUGAAAUUGUUGAAAGGGAAGCGCUUGAGACCAGAUUCAGCCGGCGGUCAUCAGCUACAUUUCUAUGUGGUGCACUUGCCGUCGGUUGAGCCAGCAUCGGUUUUGAUGGUGGGAUAAAGGUUUCAGGAAUGUGGCUCCUCGAUUUCGAAGAGUGUUAUAGCCUGGAGCGCAAUGCCGCCUGUCGGGAACGAAGACCGCGCUUUUGCUAGGAUGCUGGCUAAAAGGUCU
This 563-nucleotide ribosomal RNA is filed under the name Otidea onotica. RNAcentral's name for it is "LSU rRNA". It matches the Rfam family "Eukaryotic large subunit ribosomal RNA", at positions 66 to 640 of the family's 3401-position model. The record is from RNAcentral. Lineage: Eukaryota; Fungi; Ascomycota; Pezizomycetes; Pezizales; Pyronemataceae.